GAGUUUGAUCGUGGCUCAGAUUGAACGCUGGCGGCAGGCCUAACACAUGCAAGUCGAGCGGAUGACGGGAGCUUGCUCCUUGAUUCAGCGGCGGACGGGUGAGUAAUGCCUAGGAAUCUGCCUGGUAGUGGGGGACAACGUUUCGAAAGGAACGCUAAUACCGCAUACGUCCUACGGGAGAAAGCAGGGGACCUUCGGGCCUUGCGCUAUCAGAUGAGCCUAGGUCGGAUUAGCUAGUUGGUGGGGUAAUGGCUCACCAAGGCGACGAUCCGUAACUGGUCUGAGAGGAUGAUCAGUCACACUGGAACUGAGACACGGUCCAGACUCCUACGGGAGGCAGCAGUGGGGAAUAUUGGACAAUGGGCGAAAGCCUGAUCCAGCCAUGCCGCGUGUGUGAAGAAGGUCUUCGGAUUGUAAAGCACUUUAAGUUGGGAGGAAGGGCAGUAAAUUAAUACCUUGCUGUUUUGACGUUACCGACAGAAUAAGCACCGGCUAACUCUGUGCCAGCCGCCG
Molecule: ribosomal RNA, 513 nt
Filed under: bacterium enrichment culture clone ALO1_GLFRUDD03G4VQN
Lineage: Bacteria
Description: bacterial SSU rRNA
Rfam family: Bacterial small subunit ribosomal RNA
Source: RNAcentral